Molecule: ribosomal RNA, 345 nt
Filed under: Triticum aestivum (bread wheat)
Lineage: Eukaryota; Viridiplantae; Streptophyta; Magnoliopsida; Poales; Poaceae
Description: partial small subunit ribosomal RNA
Source: RNAcentral
AUGGCCCUGAGCUUUCAGCGACUCGACGCAGUCGUUGAACAUCUCUUGCACUCCUUUGAACUUGAGACCCAGCCCCUGGAGCUUGGAUGUGUUCAGCUGAUACGCCUGCUUUCCAUAGGGGUUACUGAGCCUGCAGAGAGAUUUCAAGGUACGCAUUUCAGUCAAAACUCGGGAAAGAGACGACUCGAAGAAAAAUAUGUAUGUUUGCAGCAAGAGCAGAUAUUAAGGCCCUGUUCGGAGGACCUCCGCUCCCCGACUCCACUCCCGGAGCGGGGGGAGUUACUGUUGAAAAUCAUGGAGCUGCGGUUUCCUGGCUCUGCAACUCCGGAGAUUUUGCGGAGCUAG